GACGAACGCUGGCGGCGUGCUUAACACAUGCAAGUCGAACGAAGUGGCGAACGGGUGAGUAACGCGUAAUCAACCUGCCCUUCAGAGGGGGACACCAGUGGGAAACGCCUGCUAAUACCGAAAACUGAGGGGGGGGAUGGGGUCUGAUUAGCUAGUUGGAGGGGUACGGGCCCACCAAGGCGAUGAGCAGUAGCCGGUCUGAGAGGAUGAACGGCCACAUUGGGACUGAGACACGGCCCAGACUCCUACGGGAGGCAGCAGUGGGGAAUCUUCCGCAAUGGACGAAAGUCUGACGGAGCAACGCCGCGUGAGUGAUGACGGCCUUCGGGUUGUAAAGCUCUGUUAAUCGGGACGCGGUACCGGAAUAGAAAGCCACGGCUAACUACGUGCCAGCAGCCGCGGUAAUUC
This 408-nucleotide ribosomal RNA is filed under the name uncultured bacterium. RNAcentral's name for it is "partial 16S ribosomal RNA". It matches the Rfam family "Bacterial small subunit ribosomal RNA", at positions 28 to 526 of the family's 1533-position model. The record is from RNAcentral.